AUUCCAUGAUAAGGGCAUUUUUGUAGGAACUCUUUGAAUCUCUCCCACGCCUCAUACAAGGAUUCAUCAUCCAUUUGUUAGAAGGUAGUGGUCUCAUUUCACAACUU
Gossypium arboreum is the source of this 107-nucleotide small nucleolar RNA. It matches the Rfam family "Plant small nucleolar RNA R71". From Rfam's summary of the family: R71 is a member of the C/D box family of snoRNAs containing the C (UGAUGA) and D (CUGA) box motifs. Multiple nearly identical copies of this snoRNA have been identified in Arabidopsis, and it is thought to function as a 2'-O-ribose methylation guide for 18S ribosomal RNA. Lineage: Eukaryota; Viridiplantae; Streptophyta; Magnoliopsida; Malvales; Malvaceae. The record is from Rfam.